CAUAUGCUCCCUCCGUCCGAAAAUACUUGUCCUCAAAAUGGUUGUAUCUAGACUUAUUUUAAUUAUAGAUACAUUCUUUUUUUAUCCAUUUCUAGGACAAGUAUUUCCGGACGGAGGAACUAUAUC
Triticum aestivum (bread wheat) is the source of this 126-nucleotide non-coding RNA. NCBI's taxonomy places the organism in Eukaryota, Viridiplantae, Streptophyta, Magnoliopsida, Poales, Poaceae. The record is from Rfam.